AAUACAAAAGGCGCUUGUGCUUCAGGUUGAUCGUCAGAUUGCUAGCAGAAUCAUUUUGCUAACUCUUCAAGGUUUUAUGGCUGUCACAUGAAAGUUGGUCAGCCAGAGCUCACAAGUUGCUUGUGUUGUCCGAUCCAAAGUUCAGAGGGAUGUUCGUGCUGGCACGUUCUAUUGUCUUAUCGGGUAAAUUGGGCACACAUUUGAUCAGAAGAGAUUGAAACACUGUACCAAGUGAAGACUGAAGACUCUAAAUAACAACAGCCAGAAAGUUGCUUGCUCCCUAAAAAGUGUUUUAUUAGCCAUUUGUUGUGAUCAUUCUUCAUGUUUUAGACAAAUAUUUUGUACUCCCAAUGGUUUCUAAGCAUUUUUGUAAGUUUGUAAUAAGAGACAACUCCUAUAUAUGAAAGAAAUGAUACACUUUUUGUUAUU
Molecule: non-coding RNA, 429 nt
Organism: Nicotiana tabacum (common tobacco)
Lineage: Eukaryota; Viridiplantae; Streptophyta; Magnoliopsida; Solanales; Solanaceae
Source: RefSeq, a predicted model, not a curated record